UCGCCCAGCGCCCCUGGUUGAUAACGAGGGUCAGAGCAAGAAGCAGAACUUGCAAGACGGGGGCAGUGACCAGUGAGCGUUAACUGUGUUCUCAGCGCUUUCCACACCUUGCUCCUUCCAUCGGCACAACAGCCCGGGGAUACAGGUCCUGCGGGGCUUAGGAAGGGAGGCGGCACUCAGUCCACGGUGGACCUGCUCAUGGGAGACACGAGAGUAGGUCGACGCAUCCGCACGCGACUCCGGGUCGCCUCUCCCUCGUCUUCCUCCGUUGCAGAGACUGAGGAGCCAAGUACUUGUUUAUCUAAUCUCUCUUCUAGAUACAGACGGCCAUGGAUCUGCUUCCAGGACUAGACACGCAGCAACCCCCGCGUGAUCUCGGGCGAGAGCCAGAUGCGGACGGCGGGGCGGUAGCUGAAGUCCCCGAGCUCCCGAUGACAUCAUCGAGUGCCAUUCCCAGGUAUGACCUGCCUGCUUCUGCGCGUCUUAUUAUGAGAAAAAUGACCCCAGCUUGUUUAAGCCACCGUUGUACUCAGGACCCCAUGGCUUGAAUAGAUUCUGACAUUCUCCUUCAUGAACAACAGCAGCUACGCAAGCAGUGCCGUGUUACGAGGCAAGAAAAGAAAAUUACGGGCGCAAAGAAGAGAAACACCCCCAGAGAGGGGCAGGGUUUGAGCUGACCCUGACGGACCCACGGGGAUCCCUGAGACGCAGAGGCAGGAGGGGCCCAGGCGGGAGGAACAGCAGGUGCAGACGCGAGGCCUCCAGAGUGCGGCGUGGAAACCACCAGAACCCGGA
This is a long non-coding RNA of Lemur catta (Ring-tailed lemur), 795 nucleotides long. RefSeq lists it as uncharacterized. NCBI's taxonomy places the organism in Eukaryota, Metazoa, Chordata, Mammalia, Primates, Lemuridae. The transcript is spliced from 3 exons. The record is from RefSeq and is a predicted model, not a curated record.